UGUAACUGGUGUAACUGGUGUAACUGGUGUAUUUGGAGCCUCCUGUCGUCAUGAAAUUCCCUUUAUGUUUUUGAACAUGAUUCAUGGAGAACGCUGAGUUGUUAAUCAAUGCUUAAGUCACUAACCUACAGUCAACAAUGUCACCAAAUGUUUCCCCAAAAUAUUAUUUCUCUUAUCGACUCGAAACCAUUGAGAUGAUCUUUUUUUUAAACAGGCGAGCAGAUCCAACGUAUGUCAUCAGUGAGCUGGUGAAAAGAUACCAGGACAAGAACAUCAAGCUGAAUUUCAUAUACGACACCGUGUGUGUGCCGUCCUCACAUAUAGAUGUGAGUAUUUUCUUUUACUAUAUGACACAAGAACAACGUUUCCUGUUUAUAAAACACUGUUUGGUGUUUAUCAGACAAAUGGAGGAGGAACACCUCGAGGUAUUUCCCUGGCUGUCCAUGUUUAUGGACAUAAACUGCAGUGCCAGCUAUGAUUUAUUGGUCAAUGUACACAAACUGGCACACAUGUCAUCCUAAGCACAUGCACACACUAUUCAGUCCAUACUUUGAUAAACUCUUGUACAGUAAACAGUAAAUAUGUGUUAAUCAGAAAUCUUUUAGAGCACACGACGGCUUCCUGGGUUUGGGCUGAACGAUGGAGAAGGCAUGGAGAGGUUCUGCUCCUUCCUCAGAAGAUCUGCAGGAGUCACAAAGAGAUGACUCUAUCAGAUCGACUGGAAAUUCUGAUUGAUGCAUUAUUGCAUUAUGGGAGGAGGAAGUCAUCGGAUCUAGUGACUAUUUCAGAACAAGACAUCCAACAGUGGAUGGAAAGAGAGACAGAAGCUGACAAACAUGCACUUUUGAAAACGAGACCCAAAGGCCAGAGAGUGCUCUUCAAACUACUGACAGACACGCCCACAUUACAAGCAGAUGGUGUGAGUCUGAUUUGAUUUUCCAGUCAACGCUGAGAGACUGCGAGCAAGAAAUGAAGCAAGGAAGAAGGAUCGCUCUACUCAAUCUCAAGCACUUUUUCAUUGUCACAGAGGGAAACAUUGUAUUUUCUGCGUCACUUCCUCACAGAAAAGAUAUUUGUACCCAUUCUGCAGGUAAACUGUUGAUGGGACAAUAAACAAAUUUCACUUUGCAAAAUGUUCUGCAGGGAGGUUGUGGUUGCUUCUUUCGACUACCAUGACCUGGAUGACUGAGAACCUACGCAGACACGUUCUCAGGGAAGGGCUCCACACUUAUUGUACUGAUUUAACUGAGCUUAUUGUCAUCAAGCAAAGUUUGCUUUAAUGUGUCUCUAUUGACAACACAAAGAAUUUUUGUCACUAGUUAUAAAAUGUAGAAAUCUUCAAAUAUAUCUGAAGUGCUUGGUGUAAAUUCAAUGAUUCAAGAUCCAGUUGGUUGUCAUCUUCACUGAAAAAUAAAUAUGAAUAAAAUAUUAUAAUAUAUAAUAAAUAAUAUCAUGUGAUGUUGACAUGUGUUGUUGGUAUUUUCUGUAAAUGUCUUUUUGAAUGUAAAUGCUUUGUUUGAGACAGACAGGGAGUCGCUAUAAAGCUGUCCAAGCAAAUCCACGUCUGUAACAGAGACUGAAGAAGAUUGUAACAGAGUCCAACAGUCUGCAGUGGCCACCACAGUCCACCGUCUUCACAUCACAAUUUCAACAUGUCUGUGAAGUCUCCUUGCCCUUGGGCUCAUGCCUCGAUGAACAAGUUUGUUUCAUUAACAUUUCUCAGACAGAAGAAGGUGAUAUUCCAACAGAGCUGAAAAGGAGAGCCGUCGAUUCCUUACAUUUGAAGAGCAGAGCAGCUGAAGAGAAGCUGUGACUCCAACGUGAGAUGGACCCUGUGAUUCAUCACCUCCACCAGCAACACACUGACCUGCAUUCAUCCAUAGAUGCCACUCAGGACCCUGGUUCCACAGCUGUUCUUGUUCACAGCUGCGUCCAGUUAGAGAGGAAACUGUAUAAUGCAAUGAUGAUGUUCCAGCGUCAUGUUAUUGCUCCUCCUCCACAUGCUUACCUGCCACAGUUUAACUCCGCCUCUCAGACAGUCAUGUCACCUGAUCUGCACGUUUUGCUGUACGAUGACGUCAUCUUGACGUUGACGAGGAGAAAAACUAGUUUUGUCCUGCAGAUGGCGAUCUUGCACCUUGUUCAGAGAG
Astatotilapia calliptera (eastern happy) is the source of this 2150-nucleotide long non-coding RNA. Lineage: Eukaryota; Metazoa; Chordata; Actinopteri; Cichliformes; Cichlidae. The record is from Ensembl.